CUAAUAACACUAAUAUUUUCUCGUAUAACCCCGCAGCCGUUAAGGCAUGGAUAGGGCGGGGGUUUCUACAGGAAGCCUAUUCUUCCUAACUACGAUGAUAAAGACCCGCCUA
This 112-nucleotide non-coding RNA is filed under the name Paenibacillus sp. RNAcentral describes it as "Guanine sequence". It matches the Rfam family "Purine riboswitch aptamer". From Rfam's summary of the family: Riboswitches are metabolite binding domains within certain messenger RNAs that serve as precision sensors for their corresponding targets. Allosteric rearrangement of mRNA structure is mediated by ligand binding, and this results in modulation of gene expression. RNAcentral also lists the same sequence under 1 other name. Lineage: Bacteria; Bacillati; Bacillota; Bacilli; Caryophanales; Paenibacillaceae. The record is from RNAcentral.